AGGUAAUGCCUCCUGUACCUAUAUCACUGGAGACACUCGGUCAUGCUGUGGGUGCUGAUACCUUAGACGUUAAUCGUCAAGGGUGUGACGUGAGGAAGGGUUAAAUGCCCG
Regulatory RNA element from Paenibacillus sp. FSL H7-0357, 111 nucleotides. It matches the Rfam family "epsC RNA". The record is from Rfam. NCBI's taxonomy places the organism in Bacteria, Bacillati, Bacillota, Bacilli, Caryophanales, Paenibacillaceae.